This is a long non-coding RNA of Herpailurus yagouaroundi (jaguarundi), 912 nucleotides long. RefSeq lists it as uncharacterized. NCBI's taxonomy places the organism in Eukaryota, Metazoa, Chordata, Mammalia, Carnivora, Felidae. The record is from RefSeq and is a predicted model, not a curated record. The transcript is spliced from 5 exons.
CCAGGCAGGAGACAGAAGGUGGAGGGGCUUGGCCUCUGCAAAACAGCUUCUUUCCCACCUCGAGGGCUUUGCUCAGGCCAUGCCUCCUCCCUGCUUCUCUCUCCUCACAGACGUGCCCGGUCUCAAAUGACUCUGCAAAGUCUCUUCGAUUAAUGACGCCAUGAAGAGAUUGCCAUGGGCCCCACGGCCUGGUCUACCCUUUGGGCCUUUCAUCCUCUAAUCUGUGGUGUGGUUGGCUGUCCGUAUGUGAAUAUCUCUAAGGUCCCUGUCAGCACGGACGGUGCCACUGCUGAAAAAGGAAAAUCAAAGAACUAUUCCAGCUGCUCUCAUCUGACAGAAGAGGAAAUAGGCCCAAUUAAGGCCCUUUCUUGCUGCAAGUAUCAUAGGGAACACACGAGGCCAGUGCAGGUUCCGGGCUGCUAGAGAGACUAUUGUUUAGUUUUCAAUUGUGUGGUGCCAGGACACUGAAUGGAGGAGGAUAAAUUGGGAUGGAUGGGAAGGCAGCUGUGGCCCAGUCUACACCAAAUAUAGGUGGAUACUUCUACUCUGAGGAGCAACCCAGUCUACCAGAAUCAGCUGGUGUUUGAAUCCCACUCCACCACUGAAUGGCCUUGGACAAGUCACUUUGGCACCCAUGAAAUGAGGACAGCAACACCUACUGCAUCAGAUUAUGGUGAAGCUAAAUGUACGAUGCAUACAAAGUACUUAAGAUGAUAUUUGGUGCAUAGAAAAAGGCUUUGUAAACCCAUAAUCCAACCACAUGUACUCUUCUAAAGAAAAAUAAUCACACCAAGAAUAGGAAUUUGCCAAAUAAGAUGUAAGCAAUACCAAAUAUUUUUUAAAUCAAAAUUUUAUAGUAACACAAACUAACCCCAGAUCCUGGCCUGCUUAAUAAAUCUCCUAUAAAGCUGA